This is an RNA transcript of Ictidomys tridecemlineatus (thirteen-lined ground squirrel), 4412 nucleotides long. It is a transcript of the gene named protein-L-isoaspartate (D-aspartate) O-methyltransferase, with no coding region annotated. Lineage: Eukaryota; Metazoa; Chordata; Mammalia; Rodentia; Sciuridae. The record is from RefSeq and is a predicted model, not a curated record.
CACCUGCAGUCGCGGUACAGAUCGGCCCUGCUAGCCCGCCGCCGCACAUGGUGACAGGAGCCACAGGCAGGAACGCGACCCACAGCUCUGGGGACCAUCGGCCCGGCCGCAGGGCGAAGUCAGCAAGGGCACGCGGCGGCGGUGGUGCUGACUCAGCACAACCUCCCCGGGGUCGCCCAGCAGCAGCAGCAGCCACCCGCAAGCGCCGCAGGGCAACGGGCCUCCCCCGCCUCCGGCCCCACCCGGCCGCACCCGAGGGCGCGCGGCGUCACAGAGCGCAUGCGUGCCGCGGGGGAUGCCGGGAGCGCGCAGUGGCGGCAGCGACGGCGACGGCAGUAAUAUCGGCGGCAACAGCGAGGACGGGACCGGGGCGGUGACCGUGUGGGAGGUGGUCUCACUCUUGGGAAAGCUGCUGGGCACCGUCGCCGCGCUGAAGGUGGUUCUGUACCUGCUCCGGGUGUGCUUAGCGAUGGCCUGGAAAUCCGGCGGCGCCAGCCACUCGGAGCUUAUCCACAAUCUCCGCAAAAAUGGAAUCAUCAAGACAGAUAAAGUAUUUGAAGUAAUGCUGGCUACAGACCGCUCGCACUAUGCAAAAUGUAACCCAUAUAUGGAUUCUCCACAAUCAAUAGGUUUCCAAGCAACAAUCAGUGCUCCACACAUGCAUGCAUAUGCACUAGAACUUCUAUUUGAUCAAUUACAUGAAGGAGCUAAAGCUCUUGAUGUAGGAUCUGGAAGUGGAAUCCUUACUGCAUGUUUUGCACGUAUGGUUGGAUGUAAUGGAAAAGUCAUAGGAAUUGAUCACAUUAAAGAGCUAGUAGAUGAAUCAAUAAAUAAUGUCAGAAAAGAUGAUCCAACACUUUUGACUUCAGGGAGAGUACAACUGGUUGUGGGAGAUGGAAGAAUGGGAUAUGCUGCAGAAGCGCCUUACGAUGCAAUUCAUGUUGGAGCUGCAGCCCCAGUUGUGCCACAGGCACUAAUAGACCAGUUAAAGCCUGGUGGAAGAUUGAUAUUGCCAGUUGGUCCUGCAGGUGGAAAUCAAAUGUUGGAGCAGUACGACAAGCUACAAGAUGGCAGUGUCAAAAUGAAACCUCUUAUGGGAGUGAUAUAUGUGCCUUUAACAGAUAAAGAGAAGCAGUGGUCCAGUUGCUGGCACAGUGCUCCACCUGGCUGAGUGAAUGGCUUCUUUUGGAGCUGAUAAAGCUGCCUUAUGAAGUCAGCUGACAGGGAUGAGCUGUAAAGCAACAUCAGCUUGACCAGUCUAUAAUAUUGCAGUGGAUCGCUCAUCUCAGUCCUUAAAGCUUUUUGAAAACCAAUAGCAUCACAGCUUGUUUUGGACUUUGUUACACUGUUAUUUUCAGCAUGAAAUUUGUGGUUUUGUAGGGUCUUCUAAUUCUUCAAAGAGGCACAGAGCGAAAUGGUAGAGGAAGGAUACAAAGUAUAAAUCUGUGUGUUAUUACUUAACAUGCCCACGUUUUACUUUAAAAUAUUAAAAGAAGGGUUUCUGCAAAAUGAAACAGUUAGUUUGUGAAUUGAUUUUGAGGAGUGAAUUUUCUUUUCUUGGACACUUAAUUCUAUUCUGAUAUUAAUUUAUGAGAUUUCUUUUGUGCAUCAGAUAACACCACCAUUCACAAGUUAAGAUUCUUGGUAUUUGGAUGUCUGUUAGAGACUACUAAGAAAAUAGAGAUGAGCUUUCUUUUUAAAGCUUUUGAUGUGGUAUCAUAGAAUAGCAUGUUGUAGAUACAAUCAGCUGCUUUGUUACCUUAAAACUAGGCAUUGUAAAUACUGAAACUUAAGAAGAUGGCAGGUAAUGUCCUAUCAACGCUCAGUUGUUCAGAUUGGACAUAACUGACAUAGUUCCCCCCACCCUUUCUCUCCUCUCCCCAUCUCCCUCUCCCUCUCUCUCUAAAACCAAUAGGAGACUUGUAGUUCAGUAUUGUUUUUUCUGUUUCUAGUUUGCUGCUGAUAAUGUAUAUGAAUCUAACAUGCUGUGUAAGCUGUGUGCUGGAUUCUGCACAGCUUAUGCAGUGCUGCUUUGCCAAAUAAAGUUAAAAGCAAAAGAGGCAUUGGUGGUGUUUGACUCUAGAAGGGAGAAUGUUAGGUCUACAAGAUCCAGAAUGUUGAUUGAGACCAUGAAGGAAAAAUUGCUUCUCUGAUUUGUGAAAUCUGAAUAGGUAAAUAGCACCAAUUCUUCUGUACAUUGUGGAAUGUGACUAUAUUUCUUUAGGGCAAGAACCACAUUGUAUUCACCAUUUCUCUCUGUUGGUCUAACCCAGGGCUCAUCUUGCAGUAUUUAGAAAAUAAAUGCCAAAUCAGUGAGUGGGUGAAUGAAUUGACUGAAUUGUCAGGGAGGAAUACAGUGGAGGGUAAACGUACUAAAACCCACCUCUCAUAUAUAGAUUUAUUAAUAUAGUGCCUAUGAAAUGUGUUUCUAAGAAAGUGCCGGCUUUUGGGGAUCUUGUUUACAUGUUGUAGUUUAUAGAUAUAUUUAUAAGAUCUUGGUUUUCUUAGUGUUCUAGAACUUGAGAAACUAUUACAAGCUCUAGAAUGAGCAGAACCAGAAUGUCCAGCAGUGCCCUCUUGUGUGUAAAGUAUGCAUACUUUUGCCAAGGAGAUCCUGAGUGAGCAUGUGACUCACCCUUCCCUACUCUUAAAAUGUUUAUUACUGCUUUAAAAAUGGCUUUUAAAAAUUAUUCAUACAUCUUUUCACAAGUGUCUCCUCUUGGCUAAGGCUUUAGACAAGGAAUCUAGCAUUAUUUGAUGCCCCAAAAUGUAAUUUUACCAUUGUCUUCGGUUUACUGUUGUCUGUCACUUCUAAGCCCUUGGCUAUGGAAACCUUCACGUCCAGGACUCAGUGUUACGUGAGGUGUUUGCUAGUCUAUAUCAUAUCCAUUAUACCUACAUUUUAUUCUAUAUAAAUUUCUAUGUUAGGUUUUGGGGAUAGAAAAAGACCCUUACUAUCAAGAAGUCUGCAGUCUAAUUGCAGAGACAGUUUAUGAUAAGACAAAACUACUACCCAGAUGGUACAGACCAGUGCAUUUAAGCAUUGUUCAAGCAUCUUGGACUUUGUACUUUUAAGAAUUAAAAUUUCACGGUGUUGAAUAAAUAGGAUGAAUUUUGAGGGAGUAUUACUAAAUAGGUAGCCAUGGGAAUAGUAGAUUUUAACUAGGUCUUAGAACUUUUUUCUUUAAGAGAGCUGAAUUAUAUAUGUAUGUAGUCAACAUAUAAGAAAUGUCUCGUUAAUCUUUAGUCAUAAUUUGGCAUUUUAUUUUUCCUUAAUAAAAAUGAUGUAUUGUGGAGGGCAACAAUGAAAAUAUUUCAAAAAGUUCCAGUGUAAUGAGAUAUGUUGAAACAAAAUUUUGUCUAUUUUUCUAACCUUAUUAAAGACAAAAUUCGCUGCCAAAACUUAUGUAAUAAUUAACUGGGUGCAGUGGCACACACUUUUAAUCCUAGUGACUUGGUUGGCUUAGGCAGGAGGGUCACAAGUUUAAUGUCAGCCUCAGCAACUUAGCGAGGCUCUACCAAACUUAGUGAGAUGCUGUCUGUAAGUAAGAAAUAGAAAAAGGACUGGGAUGUGGCUCAGUGGUAAAGCACUCCUGAGUUCAAUCAUCAGUACCAAAAAAAAAAAAAAAGUAAUAAAAAGCAUGAGUUUCUAUUGAGGGCUUUAACUCUUUCCCAGAAGAAAAUGACAUGUGGAGGAAAAUAAUUUAUUACUAUUGUUCAUGGAAAUAUUCAAAAUCCCAUUGCCCUAAUUCUAGAAAAUGUCAUUGUUUAAAAUUUAAAAAGGCAAUGAAACUUUUUAAAUUGGCUACAAUGUACCUAUAUUAAAGCAUCUUAAAAAUGCAAUGAUUCUAAAAUAGGAUUUUCUUUUGUAAUAAAUGAAUUGUCAUGAAUUCUUCAAAGCUAUUCUUGGUAUGUGAUUAUUAGCCAGGAAAUAACUCCUUUUUUGUUUAUCUUAUUAGAAAGGUAAGCAUUUUUUGGUUUUCAAUUAAAUGUUAACAAAUUUUCCAGUAGUUUGGCAUGCCACUCAAAGAACUCAUGUGAAUAUGGUAACUAAUAUUAAAAAUGAAUAAUAAACAUGGGAAGUUUUAAAAAUAAAGUUCUAAGUGUGGUUCAGUGGACCAAUAACUUAUUUUAGGUAAGUGCUAAAAUUCUUGAGGCAUAUAAUUCAUUAUUAUUCUGCAGCUCACUCUGUCCUUGAACUAUAUUCAGUAAAACAAGUGAGUUCUGAUUGAAUUUCACUUGUCUCUGGAUUUCUUAGAGCAUUUUUCAGAAAGAUAACAGUGUUUUGUCCCUGCUAUACAUUAAAGGGUGGCUCAAAUAGAGUGCCAGUGAAACAAUCCCUCUUGAAGAAAACUGGCUCAAGAAAGUUUGUGUUUGUAUAUUGUAAUAAAAUAAAAAGAAAUCAAGUCCAA